Molecule: long non-coding RNA, 892 nt
Organism: Vidua chalybeata
Lineage: Eukaryota; Metazoa; Chordata; Aves; Passeriformes; Viduidae
Exons: 2
Source: RefSeq, a predicted model, not a curated record
GCGAGCCCGACGGCCCCGCCCCGCCGCGCGCGCUGCCCCGGCGGCGCGAGGGGAGCGGGCUGAGGGCGUGCCGGGAAAAGCCCCGUGACGGGAUCCAGGGAUGCCAGCGUCACCCAGGGUGGAAAAGACCCUCGGGAUCAGCCAGUGCUACCGUCCAGCCAGCACUGCCACUGUAACCCAGUCACAUCACCCACCGCCAGAUCCAAACACCUCUUCAACACCUCUGAGCUUGAGUCGAUUUCCUUUGGCCGUCUAGCUGCAGGCACAGCAGAAGAGACCAGAUCCCACCUGGCUCCAGCCUCCUGUAGGGAGCCACGAGGUUCCCGCUGAGCCUCCUCUUCUCCAGGCAGAACAGCCCCAGCUCCCUGAGCCGUUCCUCAUCAGGCAUGGUUUCUAGACCUUUCACAAGCUUUCUGCCCUUCUCUGAUCACACUCCAGCACCUCACACGGUACUUGAGGUGCAGCCUCACCAAUGCCUGCUCCCUGCCCUCUUCACAGGCCUGCUCGAGGUUACAGCCUUUGCUCAGCUACUUGAACGAGCACUCGCUCCUGCUACCUGACUGUUGGAGUCAGGGUGCGUUCACAUAAACGGCUCAGCUAACCAACAUGAAUGUAGUCAGGAAACAUCACCUAGCAGCAGUGACCUGUUCCACAAGUACAGCCAGCUCAGCAAGUGGGGCUUUGUCCAGAGAUUCUAGGUCCAAAGAUUUGUUGGAAUUACUUUAAUAUAGUUAUUAGAGUAUUUAAUGUAGACAAAUCCAUAGAAUUUUUUUUUUUUUUUGAUAGAAGAACAUUUCUCUCCCUAGUUUUAGAUAACAUAACAAAAUGGCGCACACAGCUCUACUGGAGCUCUAGAUAUUAGUGUAAUAAAAAUAAGAUUUGUCUGCUUAGA